GGAUCAGCUUCAAGAAUGUUGAUGUAGCUUCAGAAUCUGCAAACUGCAUGGCUCCAAACUGAGGUCCAUACUGCCUUAAAAAGUCUACUGCUGCAUCUUGGCUGAAAAUUUCUACUGCUCGCCCUACGUGCAUUUUUUCAAAAUUUGUUGGAUAGACAUGCUUAUAAGAGAGAGAGCGUACUGGUUUCACAACACGAUCUUUCUGCAAAUUAUAUAAUUCCCGAAUGUACCAACCUGUUAUUGGCUGACCAUUGUUACAUAAAGCUUUUACUUUUUAAAACAAGAAGUUUCAGAAGUUUUUUAGGAUAUGACAGGUAUCAUAUGAUAAGAACAGAGGUCGAUUAAUGUCACAGAUAUGGGGAAUUAUAGGCUUAACAGGACUACCACCAGACAAGAUACGGAACAGGGCAACAUUUGUUUUAUGGUUAUCAGCUACAACAUGAAUUAUCACAAAAGAGGCGGCUUCAAUUUUUCUUAUUACAUUUACAGUAAGCUCAUACAGUUCUUCACCCUUAAGGGUGAAGAAGACCAUUUAAGACCAUUUGUGAAAUAAUAGGCCACAUACCAUAAGACCAUUUGUGAAAUAAUAGGCCACAGGAAUUCUAAAAUGUGUAGUAAUGCCAACAAACACAAAUCACAAGAGAUUGGUGGCUAGUCUUUGUUCUAUUCCACUUUGCUUGUCAGUUUUGGUAGAAAUAUUGCCAACUACUUCAUCACCAUGUUUAUUAUAUAAAACAGACGGCUUUAUUGACAUCUCAUCAAAUAUCAAAGAUCCACAUUUUUCCAUCCCUUUGGUGUUUUGGCCCUCCUCACACAACCUCUGCCAAAUUAAACUUGAAACUGUUUCACCAGUUAUAGAACCUAUAUAUCUUUUCAAAGUUGUCCUCAAUGGCAGAGUAAGCAGCUUAUAUUGCACCUGAAUAAGAUUGUAUCCUGCAGGAGACUUGCUGCCACAGUAUAGAAAAUUUGAUAGUAUUGUCAUUGUAGUGUGGUUUUUUUUGGCCAAAGAUCCUCAAUUGUUCUACUAAAAACUCUGCUUUUGCAACACCUCUAAUACUUUCACUUUCCAAUUUAUCAAUAUUAUAUUUAUUUAUCUUGUAGCUGCUUGAUCAUCUGC
This 1117-nucleotide long non-coding RNA is filed under the name Androctonus crassicauda. Lineage: Eukaryota; Metazoa; Arthropoda; Arachnida; Scorpiones; Buthidae. The record is from RNAcentral.